RNAcentral lists this long non-coding RNA (1055 nucleotides) under Catagonus wagneri (Chacoan peccary). Its description in RNAcentral is "lncRNA (ENSCWAG00000020622.1)". The record is from RNAcentral. Lineage: Eukaryota; Metazoa; Chordata; Mammalia; Artiodactyla; Tayassuidae.
AGCCACAGAAGGUUGGAACUGCUUUUAUUGGGGCGAGUGCUGCUGGCCCCGCUGCGGUCAGGUGAGUGCUCCGCCCUCGCCGAGGCAGCCGAGGCCUGGCGCCUCCACCCGCCGCCUACCUGGGUUAGUGGAUCAUGCGAAGCUCAGAGUGAGGCGGGGGGGCCAUCAGGGCCGGGGGCUGGAGACGACAGGAGGGGUGGCCCUGGGCUGGGUGGCCUUGGUCGGCACAGACACCUGGAAGGCGUCUCCGGGCCCGACACAGGGGCCGAGGCGCCCCAGGAGAGGGGGCGGCCAGCCCCUCAGGGUGGGCUGCAGGGCACACUGGGCCCACGGGCGGAGAGCCCCGCAGAAGCCCAGCAGUGCCCGGCCGGCUUGCCCGUCACCACUCCAGGUCGGGGUCCUUGGGGUCUGAGGAGCAGAGGAGGGACAGAAGGCACUUACGAGGGGGCUGAGGCUGGAAGGCUGCAGCCAGAGGCCUGGGGUCCCCAGAGGGGGUGGGGGGCGGGGGGCGGAGCCCGAAGUGCCCCCGGGGCCGGGAGCAGGCUGGGCCCGGCCUGGGGCAGCUGGUCUGCAGACGGGACCCUCACCUUCCCGCGGGGAAGGGGCUUCUCUGGGCAGGCUAGAAGGGGUGGCCGCCCGGCAAGGCCCACUAAGCGAGCGGGUCAGUCCCGGGGACAGGAGCUGCCUCGAGGGCCCUGCGCCUGGGGGAGGCGGGGCUGGUGGGGCGGCCCGAGCUGGGCACUGGGGGAGCCUCCGGAUGGGACCCCCUGGGGAGACAGGAGGGCGGAGUCGGGGCCGGCUCCGGACCCUCCAAGGCACCUGGCUGUGCUGAGUGGCAGGUUGAGGCGCAGGGAGACCCGGGGUCGGUGGGCGGGACUGGCCCCGACCCCGCAAGGAACAGGCUGUCAGGACAGCAGACAUAUAUUAAUGUGUUAGUCUGGUCUUUUUGCUUAGACUUUAGGCACCGCUUGGGAGGAAGACACCGUUAAACAUCACAGAGAGAGCCCGGCACCUGGGGGGGCCUGGCCACAUGCAGAGUGGGAGGCGGGGGUGGG